This 254-nucleotide ribosomal RNA is filed under the name uncultured bacterium. RNAcentral describes it as "partial 16S ribosomal RNA". It matches the Rfam family "Bacterial small subunit ribosomal RNA", at positions 524 to 776 of the family's 1533-position model. The record is from RNAcentral.
UACGGGGGGAGCAAGCGUUGUUCGGAUUUACUGGGCGUAAAGGGCGCGUAGGCGGUCAGCACAAGUCAGUUGUGAAAUCUCCGGGCUUAACUCGGAAAGGUCAACUGAUACUGUGCGACUAGAGUGCAGAAGGGGCAACUGGAAUUCUCGGUGUAGCGGUGAAAUGCGCAGAUAUCAGGAGGAACACCGGUGGCGAAGGCGGGUCUCUGGGCCGUAACUGACGCUGAGGAGCGAAAGCAUGGGUAGCGAACAGG